UAUUUUUGAAAAGAGAUUAAAUUGAUCCAUUAAACAUGUAAGAAUGGGAAUGACAGUAAGGAGCUGCCAUGUGGAUACACUUCUGGACCGAAAAAGAUACAAGAGCCCUCGUUGAAAACAGUACUGCAACUGUGACAUGACAUCUGCUAUUUCUCCUCCAUCCAUAAGGCCUUUACCUCGGAGCCUCUCCUGUUAGAUCAUUCUUCUUGUAGACAUGAUAACGGUUUUACAGGUUAUGACCAUAAGUUCCUAAGGAACUGGUGCAGCCAGGAUCUGUUGUACUUCCGAGUCCUGUAGCACAGAUAAAAGGAAAGUCAAACAGAGGAAAAUAAAGGGAGAGACAGAAUUUAAGGUAAAACUAACCAGAAACAGAACAACUUGGAUCCAGGCUUCCCCCUUCCUUCAGAUGCCAGAGACUGAUCCCUUUACAUAAACUGAAACGUAAGAAACUCAACAUGCCACUUAUCCUGGAUUAAGAGAACCAUCUGCAAACUACAGUAUCCUCAGUUGUGGAGUGAUCAUGGUUGGAAAGUGUAGUUUCUAAACAUUAUCAGUCUGGCUUUCAUGAAUCUGAAUGCUGUUUUACUACAUAAGUGUGCAUCCAACCCUAACCAUUCCAUGAUUCUAUUAUUAUAUAUUUAAGCUGCAAUUUAAAUUUAAAAUCCAAUUUCAGUAAUUAACAGAAGAAACUGGCGAACUGAUGGAAAAUUUCAGGUGAGAUCUAAACACAUGACUGAAGAAGCAACUGAAGCAAGUACCUUCAAGUGAUAUAGAAAAAUAAUAGGUAUUUGUUUUUCUUUAUUGACGGUGAAAGCUCUUGUUCAGUAUUGCUUAUUUGCAAGAAUAUGUUAGUGGCAGAAAUACCGGGACAUUGAGAAGCAUAUGUUCAAAGAUAAAAUCUAGGAUUAACUUCUGAGAAAUCUUAAAUGCUCCAUUUUUUUUCUGCAAUAAUAUAUUUUGUGUAACUAGAUUUAUUUUUCAGUCAGAUCCAAAUAAGCAAAGGCUAACAAAUACAGCAUAUUUCAACUUUAUGGUGGCUCAAGUCACCUCUUUCAAUCCCUAAAAUACUGACUAUCUGGGUCUCAGUAUGCAUAUUAGAAAUGACCUUGUAUCUUCAGCCUGGAGAUCAAACCUCCACUCAUAUCUAAUUUUGUCAUACUUCUUUUUCCAUAAGACCUUAAGUCUUGAAACUGCCAAACUUCAUUCAGCUACAAAGAGAUUAGACAAUUUUUAACCUUGCAAAAAAUCAAAUGUGGGAUAUCUGGGUGAAUACAAAAUUCAAAUUUAUAAUUAAAUGUGUAGACAGAACUGGCCUGAACCACUAUUUUUACUGGGCAUUGUGUAUUGGGGUAAAAAAUAAAUCAGCGACUUCUGAAUCUGUAGCACCGAGUAUGAAAACUGAAGACAAGACAGAAGAUUUCAUAUUUCUUUUCAAAUACUUUUAUGUCUGAAUGUUCCACUGUUGGUAACCUUGUGGUAUACCUAGAAUUAAGAUAAAAACAAAGUUUAAUCAAAGUAAUUCUGAUUUGAAAUUUUCAUCUUUAGCUUCAACAAAUGUACACAGAAAACCUCAUUCCUCCUACAGAAGAAUAACAGCAUCUCACUAAUUUAAGUAAAAGCUGUCUUUGUUGAAGGAAAAGAGGUUGCUUUACCAAAAUAACCGAGAUUGAUAUGAUUUUUCAAAAGAAUAAGGAAUUGCACUGUAAAUAGACAUACUUGAAAUUUCAAAUAUCACUGGUAACCAAAGUCAUAAUCU
Molecule: long non-coding RNA, 1756 nt
Organism: Pezoporus flaviventris
Lineage: Eukaryota; Metazoa; Chordata; Aves; Psittaciformes; Psittacidae
Exons: 4
Source: RefSeq, a predicted model, not a curated record